Molecule: transfer RNA, 93 nt
Filed under: Laccaria bicolor S238N-H82
Lineage: Eukaryota; Fungi; Basidiomycota; Agaricomycetes; Agaricales; Hydnangiaceae
Rfam family: tRNA
About the family: Transfer RNA (tRNA) molecules are approximately 80 nucleotides in length. Their secondary structure includes four short double-helical elements and three loops (D, anti-codon, and T loops).
Source: Rfam by way of RNAcentral
ACACCUGUGGUGAAGUGUUUAUCAUGCUUGCCUUCCAUUGUUCAAAAAGUUAAAAGGUAGCAAGUGGCACAGGUUCGAUUCCUGUCAGGUGUA